This 1163-nucleotide ribosomal RNA is filed under the name Bacillus cereus. Its description in RNAcentral is "bacterial SSU rRNA". It matches the Rfam family "Bacterial small subunit ribosomal RNA", at positions 39 to 1176 of the family's 1533-position model. Lineage: Bacteria; Bacillati; Bacillota; Bacilli; Caryophanales; Bacillaceae. The record is from RNAcentral.
GCGGGGGGGGUCUAUCAUGCAAGUCGAGCGAAUGGAUUAAGAGCUUGCUCUUAUGAAGUUAGCGGCGGACGGGUGAGUAACACGUGGGUAACCUGCCCAUAAGACUGGGAUAACUCCGGGAAACCGGGGCUAAUACCGGAUAACAUUUUGAACCGCAUGGUUCGAAAUUGAAAGGCGGCUUCGGCUGUCACUUAUGGAUGGACCCGCGUCGCAUUAGCUAGUUGGUGAGGUAACGGCUCACCAAGGCAACGAUGCGUAGCCGACCUGAGAGGGUGAUCGGCCACACUGGGACUGAGACACGGCCCAGACUCCUACGGGAGGCAGCAGUAGGGAAUCUUCCGCAAUGGACGAAAGUCUGACGGAGCAACGCCGCGUGAGUGAUGAAGGCUUUCGGGUCGUAAAACUCUGUUGUUAGGGAAGAACAAGUGCUAGUUGAAUAAGCUGGCACCUUGACGGUACCUAACCAGAAAGCCACGGCUAACUACGUGCCAGCAGCCGCGGUAAUACGUAGGUGGCAAGCGUUAUCCGGAAUUAUUGGGCGUAAAGCGCGCGCAGGUGGUUUCUUAAGUCUGAUGUGAAAGCCCACGGCUCAACCGUGGAGGGUCAUUGGAAACUGGGAGACUUGAGUGCAGAAGAGGAAAGUGGAAUUCCAUGUGUAGCGGUGAAAUGCGUAGAGAUAUGGAGGAACACCAGUGGCGAAGGCGACUUUCUGGUCUGUAACUGACACUGAGGCGCGAAAGCGUGGGGAGCAAACAGGAUUAGAUACCCCUGGUACUCCACGCCGUAAACGAUGAGUGCUAAGUGUUAGAGGGUUUCCGCCCUUUAGUGCUGAAGUUAACGCAUUAAGCACUCCGCCUGGGGAGUACGGCCCGCAAGGCUGAAACUCAAGGAAUUUGACGGGGGCCCGCACAAGCGGUGGAGUCAUGUUGUUUUAAUUUCAAAGCAACGCGAAAGAACCCUUUACCAAGGUCUUGACAUCUCUGAAAAACUCUAGAGAUAGGGACUUUCUCCCUUCGGGAGCAAAAGUUGACAGUGUUGCAUGAUUGUCGUCAGCUCGUGUCCUGAAAUGUGGUAAGUCCGCUACGAGCGCAUCCUUGAAUCUAAGUUGCAUCAUUAAGAGUGCUCUAGAUGACUGCCGUGAACACAUCGUGAAGCAAUGGUUG